Molecule: non-coding RNA, 4351 nt
Organism: Paramormyrops kingsleyae
Lineage: Eukaryota; Metazoa; Chordata; Actinopteri; Osteoglossiformes; Mormyridae
Source: RefSeq, a predicted model, not a curated record
UCUUCGUCAGCAUGACCCGUCCGGCCUCCCGUAGCGAAGGAGAAUCGAGAAUCAUAACUCACACAUAAAGUGCAAAAGUGGGAGGGACGGAGGGACAAAUCUGUUAGUGGAGCAUUGGUCCCUGCAAUUAAUCAAACACCGUUUUCUUAAAAAAUAAAACAGCAAUCGUUGGCAAAUUUUCUUGGGAAAAAUAUAGUUCAGGACAAGCAGUUCUCGAAGUACUCCCAGUAUGGCUGAUUAUAUCGAUCAGAAUAGUUUACCUGGAGUUAAAGAAGUAUGCCGGGACUUCGCCUUGUUGGAGGAUCACUCGCUGGCGCAGAGUCUCCAGGACCAGGAGAUCGAGAGCCACUUGGCCUCCAACGUGCACAGGAGCCGGCUGAUGCAACAGGACCUGCGGGUUGCCAGGCGUCUGCAGCAGGAGGAGAACCUGCGGGCCAGCAUCCGAAGGCAGCAGGUCCACAAGGCCGUGGAGUGUCGUGACAGUGAAAUGGCCAUGGAGAUUCAGGAGGAGCUGGUGAAGCAGGAGAGGCAGAAUCGGCACCUGGAAGAGAAGGACGAGGCCUUUGCUCGUAAGCUCCAGGAAAAGGAGAUGAAGGAGCAGCGGAGGAGGAAGAAACAGAAGGAGCCUAUGAUUGAGGAGGAGUACUAUGAGGACCAAGCCAGCUGGGAUGGACAUGGAUCCGGCCAGUUCGGGUCCACGCUGCGGCAGCCGUCUCUGGACGCUGAGGCGGUAUGGCAGAAGGAGAAGCCGUCACGGCCGCCGCCACCGCAGUGGGACAGGGGCAAGGAAGCGGGCAGGGUGGCCCACCUUGAAUUACCACCUAAUAAGGACCCCUUGAUGAUGUGGGAUAUGGAUGAAGGAGCAGUUCCAAGCCGAGCAUAUGGGGAAUGGGAGGGGCCUUCAGUCAGCCACAGCAGACAAACCCAAAGACAGCCGUCCAGGUACCAGCAAUCAAAUCCAGUGCAGGGGGGAAGAGGAGACCUCUGGGAGCCCCAGCUGGACCUUGCCCUGUCUGGUCCUACUUCUCCAGAGGCCAGGUUCCCAAACCUUCCCCCUCGAGAUCCAGACAGGAAUGAGCAAGCACAUUAUGACAUCAUGGAGGUGACCCAGGGCUUGGACGACCUAGAUGUUCAAGAGGUCCGAGACAUGGAGGUGGCCAGAAGGAUACAGGAAGAGGAACUAAUGGUGAGGGCAAGUCGAGCCGAUAAACAAGCAGCUCAGGUGGCACAGGAUGAGGAAAUCGCUUGGUUAAUAAUGGAGGAAGAAGAGGAGAAAUACAAGAAGUGCAAGAAUCGGGAUAAAAGACUCUCAAAGAAAGACAGGAAGCUGCAACAGGAGGAUUGGACGCCCUUGCUGCAGGAGGAAUCUGAACACCUGAAAUCACAGAAACAGAGGCCUGAGAGCUCCGGAAUUGUAUAGCCUUUAUACCAGAGGGUGCCCAACACGUCGAUCACGACUGACCUCGGCCGGUGCCAAAAUAAACCAAAGGAGUCGCUUGACUGCAAAUUCCUGGGCUGCUUUUUGUUGCGAGUCCACCUCUGUGUAUUUGUGUGUACUAAGGAUGUCACAAUACCAGAAGUUUAGUACUUGAUACAAAUACCAGUGAAUUUCCAUGAUUCUAGAUACUAAUUGAAUACAAACAAAACAAAACAAUAAAUCCCAUGUACUUAGGCAUACACUUAUUUAUUAAAGUCAGCUGAAUAUGGCAAAAAACAACAGUGGCAUGUAGCCUUCAAGUAGGCUUGAUAAAUAUGAAGAAAUGACUAUUGAGAUAAUAUACAGAAAAUGCGGCACUCACCCGAAAAUGCUGUCUAAAAAUAGAAUACUGGGUCAGAAAUGGAAGGCAGAAGAAAUGACAUUAAUUAAACACAGAUAAGGCAUUUAUUUACGCAUUUAUUUACAGUUGUAAAAUUCAAUUUAAAUUUAAAGGCCUUGUAAAAUCAAAGGCAACAAAGUGGCAAUUGUGUCUCCAAUUGCAACUAACUUAAGGAAAUGUAGGUCAGUAACUUAGAAGAUAUGUUGUCGGACAAGUCACUAGAAACAAAUUUUUUUAGUUACAAAACAAACCGCAAAAUCAUUUAUGGCAGCACAAAAACUUAAGUUGGUUAUUACUUUGUGACUGUCAGGAUUUGAACCGGACCGUAUUUAUAAACGAAGUGCAAGUGCUUCAAGAGUAAUAAACAUUUUAUUUUUAAGGUAGGUUCUUUCUUGUAUCAUUUUAAAUGGGGGUGGGGGCUUCAGAGAGGGCUGUUCCUGUCAGGUCCAGAACAAUCACAUCCCUGGUACCUAUGGGCUAUGGUACUGGAGAGAAAAGGGUACCAUCAUGUUUUCAGAAUUUUGGCAUUGUCUUGGUAUCAGAAUCAGUCCCGUGUUGGUUCUGGUGACAUCCAUAGUGUACACACACACAUAUACACACACGAACGGACACACACACACAUUUCCCCUACGCUGUGUAUAGUACCCUUUGCUUUUCUUCCUUUGCAUGUUGUAAUAAAAUAUGCAUUCAGCCGCAUAUUCUCUCCAUCUUUCCAUCAGACCACCUGCUCCUGUACUCAACUGCGACUACGUGGAGUCCAUCUCCUACCCCAGGCCCACAUUCUCCUCCCAGGCACCUGCCAGGCCUCAAUCUCGACCUUCAUUUAAAGGUCUCUUUAAGAGGCAGUGACCCUGGAUAACUGCGUUUUUUUUCGUUCCUUUUUCUUUUAAUUGAGUUGGUGGCAUGUUCAUUUUUUCUGUUUGUUUAUUUUUUGCCCUUUGUCAAAUGACAGUGGAACUCCCCCAAGAAGCUCUGAUUUCCAAAGAUCUCAGAUGAUGGCAGUGUGGUGGAUCCCGACGGCAUCAGAAGACAACAGCAGCUCAUAAGAUUCUGGGGGAAAAGCGCUUUUUGGUGCUGGUCUGCGGUAAAAUGCCUGCAUGCCUAAAUGAAGUUUUAUGGGUGAUUUUUUUUUAUUUUUUUUUAAUUCUUCUUCUACCCUUGGUCUCCAUUUGAGGAAGUACAGCACAGCGGACCUCUAUGUGAUUAAUUUCCUCAGGACUAAUUGGGUGCUUUCUCCACUCCAAAGGACAAUACAAUAAACAAGUUUAUAGAUGUGUAAACAUGCUGUGGUACUUUGGAUGACAAUGUGGACUUAUGGUUAGAGAGAAUCUGAAGAUCUAACAUGUCCCUGGUAGUCAUCAGAUAUAACACAGUAUUCCGGAAAAGAACUGUGUCUCACACGAAAGAAUUUAACUGUUGGCUUGCACAUUAACCCCCCCCGACAGUACUGUGACAUGUGAUUUCAUGUGACCUUUGACAAGACAUCCCAGAAUAUCAGGAUCUGGAAUGGAUUCCGGCUGUAAAGAUGCGAAUGUGUAUCUCUCAAUUUUAUACCUAAAAAGGGAUCGAAGCCUCAGUCUUUUGUAUAGUUUUUUUUUUUCCGUGAUGGUCAAAUUUACUGUGUAUUUAAAAUAGCUCUGACUAUGCAUUUGCUGCCGUGCUUUUUUAUAAACUACUGUACAUCCUUUACUUGGGACUAGUUAAAGUGAUCAAGUUUAAGCAAGUCUAUGGGACCAAGUACAGACACGCUCUCAGAUUAAACUCCUUUUCAACUUUUCAUUUUGUUGUUGUACGUAUUGAGUGACAUCAUUUUGCAUUGGCAAUCAGUGAUCUAUGUUUUCACUUUGUAAGUAGACGUCCUUGGAUUUACUGCCUUAUGUGAGACACAGGAUUGGACAGACCUUGUGCCAUUUCUUUUGAUUUACUGUGGAUAUUAACUGUAAACUUUAUGCCACAGUCAUAAUUUGGUUUACAGUGGUCACCAGCACAGUUAAUCUUUUGUAUACUUUGUUAUAACCUUCAGUGAAAAGAUACAAUAUGAUGAAUACACCACCUAGUGGACAUAAUUAAAACUAAAAACAAAAAAAAAGUUAUUCCCAACAAAUACAUAUUUUUGUGUGAUGUUUUAUUUGGCCUUGACUAAACUAGACUAAACAAGGAUGUGUCUGUAGCUUUUCAGCAGGGCAUAGGGAAAGUAUUGGCUUUCAGAAUUUUCACAUCUAGACAGAGUGCAGUCUAUUGUGCUUGAUACUCGUGUAUUUUGAUAUCCAUGUUACUCAGAAUUCCAGGGAAUUUUUAAAACUGCUUGUCAUGAUUAUGGGGCAGACUUCAAACAUCUUUCAAAUGAACAGUGCAAGCAAUUUGGAUACAGUAGAGUCCGAUUCUCUGAAUUGGUAAAAUUCCUCUGAUCAUGAAACAUCUUCAAAUAUGUUGAUUCAGCUAUGCUUAUUCACCUGUCUGUGUGUUAUUCCUGUUUAACAUCAGUAUUGUUUGAAUGGCAGGGCUCAAUUAUAAAUUAACAUUUGUUGUAAAAA